RNAcentral lists this microRNA (22 nucleotides) under Bos taurus (domestic cattle). Its description in RNAcentral is "bta-miR-12019". Lineage: Eukaryota; Metazoa; Chordata; Mammalia; Artiodactyla; Bovidae. The record is from miRBase by way of RNAcentral.
UCUGUGGAUGGUGGAGCUCAGA